RNAcentral lists this ribosomal RNA (693 nucleotides) under uncultured bacterium. Its description in RNAcentral is "bacterial SSU rRNA". It matches the Rfam family "Bacterial small subunit ribosomal RNA", at positions 34 to 705 of the family's 1533-position model. The record is from RNAcentral.
CGCUGGCGGCGUGGAUAAGACAUGCAAGUCGAGCGAGAUUUUUUCUUGUAGCAAUACAGGGAAACGUCUAGCGGCGAACGGGUGCUUAACACGUGGGCAAUCUGCCGAGAAGUGGGGGAUAGCUCGCCGAAAGGCGAAUUAAUACCGCAUGUGAUUAGAGUGGACAUCCAUUCAAAAUCAAAGUCGGGGCAACCUGACGCUUUUUGAGGAGCCCGCGGCCUAUCAGCUAGUUGGUGAGGUAACGGCUCACCAAGGCUUUGACGGGUAGCUGGUCUGAGAGGACGACCAGCCACACUGGGACUGAGACACGGCCCAGACACCUACGGGUGGCAGCAGUCGAGAAUUUUUCUCAAUGGGGGAAACCCUGAAGGAGCGACGCCGCGUGGAGGAUGAAGGCCUUCGGGUUGUAAACUCCUGUCAUUUGGGAACAAGUCGUAAAUAUUAACUGUAUUUGCGUUGAUAGUACCAGAAGAGGAAGAGACGGCUAACUCUGUGCCAGCAGCCGCGGUAAUACAGAGGUCUCAAGCGUUGUUCGGAUUCAUUGGGCGUAAAGGGUGCGUAGGCGGCGCGGUAAGUCGGAUGUGAAAUCUCGGGGCUUAACUCCGAAACUGCAUUCGAUACUGCCGUGCUUGAGGACUGGAGAGGAGACUGGAAUUUACGGUGUAGCGGUGAAAUGCGUAGAUAUCGUAAGGA